Molecule: ribosomal RNA, 428 nt
Filed under: uncultured bacterium
Lineage: Bacteria
Description: bacterial SSU rRNA
Rfam family: Bacterial small subunit ribosomal RNA
Source: RNAcentral
UGGGGAAUAUUGGACAAUGGGGGCAACCCUGAUCCAGCAAUACCGCGUGUGUGAAGAAGGCCUUCGGGUUGUAAAGCACUUUAGGUGGGGAAGAAGGUAUGUAGUUUAAGAGAUGACAUACUUGACUGUACCCGCAGAAUAAGCACCGGCUAACUCUGUGCCAGCAGCCGCGGUAAUACAGAGGGUGCAAGCGUUAAUCGGAGUUACUGGGCGUAAAGGGCGCGUAGGCGGUCAAAUAAGUUGGAUGUGAAAUCCCUGGGCUUAACCUAGGAACUGCAUUCAGUACUGUGUGACUAGAGUAUUGUAGAGGGUAGUGGAAUUUCCGGUGUAGCGGUGAAAUGCGUAGAGAUCGGAAGGAACACCAGUGGCGAAGGCGGCUACCUGGACAAAUACUGACGCUGAGGCGCGAAAGCGUGGGGAGCAAACAG